AGUGAACGCUGGCGGUAGGCCUAACACAUGCAAGUCGAACGGCAGCACAGUAAGAGCUUGCUCUUACGGGUGGCGAGUGGCGGACGGGUGAGGAAUACAUCGGAAUCUACUUUUUCGUGGGGGAUAACGUAGGGAAACUUACGCUAAUACCGCAUACGACCUACGGGUGAAAGCAGGGGAUCUUCGGACCUUGCGCGACUGAAUGAGCCGAUGUCGGAUUAGCUAGUUGGCGGGGUAAAGGCCCACCAAGGCGACGAUCCGUAGCUGGUCUGAGAGGAUGAUCAGCCACACUGGAACUGAGACACGGUCCAGACUCCUACGGGAGGCAGCAGUGGGGAAUAUUGGACAAUGGGCGCAAGCCUGAUCCAGCCAUACCGCGUGGGUGAAGAAGGCCUUCGGGUUGUAAAGCCCUUUUGUUGGGAAAGAAAAGCAGCAGGUUAAAACCCCGCUGUUCUGACGGUACCCAAAGAAUAAGCACCGGCUAACUUCGUG
RNAcentral lists this ribosomal RNA (492 nucleotides) under uncultured bacterium. Its description in RNAcentral is "partial 16S ribosomal RNA". It matches the Rfam family "Bacterial small subunit ribosomal RNA", at positions 29 to 507 of the family's 1533-position model. The record is from RNAcentral.